CCUGGUCAAGUCAGCCACACUGCUGGGGCAGAUGGCCAUAGCUGAAUGCUGUGGUGUCAUGAGAUGAUGAGAGAGUUGAUUUGGAAUUUUGCUGUGCAGGUCAGCCCUUACGACUUUCAUGCUUAGGGAGGAAAAAAAACAUGAAUUAUGAAUUUAAGCACCAAUCAUGAGCCAGACAUUGUGCUUAGGGCUUUGCACACAUGAAAUUCUUACAACAUCCCUGCAACAUUCCUCCUCAAAUCAUUGGAAAAAAUUCAAGAGCCACCAGCACCGCUGUCCAGCUUCUGUUUUGUCCGUCCCAGGAGCGCGCACCCAAGUCCUGCACCACUCCAGCUGAGGCCAGUCUAGCUUUCACCAUGCCGGUCAAAGGAGGCGUCAAGUGCAUCAAAUACCUGCUUUUCGGUUUUAACUUCAUCUUCUGGCUUGCAGGAAUUGCAGUCCUGGCCAUUGGACUGUGGCUCCGAUUUGACUCUCAGACCAAAAGUAUCUUUGAGCAAGAAAAUCAGAAUAAUCAUUCCAGCUUCUACACAGGAGUUUACAUUCUAAUUGGAGCCAGUGCCCUCACGAUGCUGGUGGGCUUCCUGGGCUGCUGUGGUGCCGUGCAGGAGUCCCAGUGCAUGCUGGGCUUGUUCUUUGGCUUCCUCUUGGUGAUAUUUGCCAUUGAGAUAGCUGCAGCCAUCUGGGGCUAUUCCCACAAAGAGGAGGUGAUUAUGGAUGUCCAAGAAUUUUACAAGGACACCUACAGCAAGCUGAAAAACAAGGAUGAGCCCCAGCGGGAAAUGCUAAAAGCCAUUCACUAUGCGUUGCACUGCUAUGGUAUUGCUGGGGGCAUGGAACAAUUUAUCUCGGACAUCUGCCCCAAGACAGACUCAAUUGAUUCCCUUUUAGUGAAGCCCUGCCCAGAGGCCAUCAAAGAUGUCUUCAACAGCAAAUUCCACAUCAUUGGUGCAGUAGGCAUCGGCAUUGCUGUGGUCAUGAUAUUUGGCAUGAUCUUCAGUAUGAUCUUGUGCUGCGCUAUCGGCAGAAACUGAGACAUGGUCUAGAGUCAGCUUAUAUCCCUGAGCAGGAAAAUUUACCCCAGAAGACUGUUGGGUUUCUUUAGGGGUUUUCUGGCCACUAAUUUUGGUAUUCAUUCUGCAUUUCUAAACUAAAAAGGUCAUUGUAUGUUUGUCUUUUAAUGCUUUAUUCAAUAUUGAUACUUGUAGUUGAGGGGCAUUUGGUUUGCUUUUGGUUUAUAUAUUUUUUUUGCUUGUUUAUUUUUGCUUGUUAUGUUAAGCAGAAAUCCUGCAAUGAAAGGUACUAUAUUUGCUAGACUCUAGGCAAGAGAUAUUGUACAUACAGAGAGUUUUUUCUUUUGUCUUUAAAUAGAUAAAAAAGAAAAAUGUCUAUCAAAUUUAAUCAGGUUGUAACUUAUAUUGAAGACAAUUUGAUAUAUAAUAAAAGAUUAUGACAAU
Otolemur garnettii (small-eared galago) is the source of this 1454-nucleotide RNA transcript. It is a transcript of the gene named CD9 antigen pseudogene, with no coding region annotated. The record is from RefSeq and is a predicted model, not a curated record. The transcript has a single exon. NCBI's taxonomy places the organism in Eukaryota, Metazoa, Chordata, Mammalia, Primates, Galagidae.